Heterocephalus glaber (naked mole-rat) is the source of this 677-nucleotide long non-coding RNA. Lineage: Eukaryota; Metazoa; Chordata; Mammalia; Rodentia; Bathyergidae. The record is from Ensembl.
CCCGGGCCACAUCAGCCAGAGCCUCAUGGCCUGGAGUGAUUUCCAUCCUGGCCUGCAGACUCAUCACUGUCACCUGUGACAAGGAUGGGCACGGAGCCAAGGAUCCCUCAGGUGAUGAGGAAGGGCGGCAGCCAGCUGUGCUCAGUGGCUGGAGGAGCUGAUUGAGAUCGAACUCAGACUGGCCUUGUCUGCAGUGCAACCUUCCAGCCACCUGGCACCCAGCUCUGUGACCCCGAGCAAGCAGCUCUCCAGCCCUUGCCAGGCCCCCAUCAGUUUCUCCAUUUACGACAAAAAGCACAAAAGGGACUUUACUCAAAAUUGAGGUCUACCAGCAUGGGCAUCUGAGUGGGUAGAGAUGCACUACCCUUGAAAAUACCGCCUUUGUCAGAAAUUUCAUUCCUGUUCUGCAAGAUGGGAGAUGAUGCGAAGUUGGCCUCAGAUGUUCUCCUGCAAGUACAAGUUGAGACCAGACAAAGAGGACAAACUGGCUGCACCUGAAUAACUCAAAGAUUGGACUAUGAACAUCCACAGCAUACACAGGUGUGGGGAACUACCAGCCCUGCCUCCAGCAAGAGUGAGGCCCACCACCUCCUUCCAAGGACACCACCAGUCCUGGGUGCCACAUCUCCCCAGGAGCUCGUUCCAGGGAGUUUUGAAGCAAGAACUUGUUAUUACCA